Molecule: ribosomal RNA, 248 nt
Filed under: uncultured bacterium
Lineage: Bacteria
Description: partial 16S ribosomal RNA
Rfam family: Bacterial small subunit ribosomal RNA
Source: RNAcentral
GACGAACGCUGGCGGCGUGCCUAAUAACAUGCAAGUGGAACGCAUGAUUGAUACCGGAGCUUGCACCACCAUUAAAUCAUGAGUCGCGAAACGGGUGAGUAAACGCGUAGGGUAAACCUACCUCAUAGCGGGGGAUAAACUAUUGGAAACGAUAGCUAAAUACCGCAUAACAGUCUUUAACCCAUGUUAGAGAUUUGAAAGGGGCAAGAGCUUCACUAUGAGAUGGACCUGCGUUGUAUUAGCUAGUU